CCUGCUCAGGACGAAACGCUGGGCGGCGUGCCUAAUACAUGCAAGUCGAGCGGACAUUUAAGAAGCUUGCUCCUUGAACCUUAGCGGCGGACGGGUGAGUAACACGUGGGCAACCUGCCCCUUAGACUGGGAUAACUCCGGGAAACCGGAGCUAAUACCGGAUAAUCCCUUUCUCCACCUGGAGAGAGGGUGAAAGAUGGCUUCGGCUAUCACUAAGGGAUGGGCCCGCGGCGCAUUAGCUAGUUGGUAAGGUAACGGCUUACCAAGGCAACGAUGCGUAGCCGACCUGAGAGGGUGAUCGGCCACACUGGGACUGAGACACGGCCCAGACUCCUACGGGAGGCAGCAGUAGGGAAUCUUCCGCAAUGGACGAAAGUCUGACGGAGCAACGCCGCGUGAGUGAGGAAGGCCUUCGGGUCGUAAAGCUCUGUUGUGAGGGAAGAAGCGGUACCGUUCGAAUAGGGCGGACCUUGACGUACCUCACCAGAAGCACGC
RNAcentral lists this ribosomal RNA (495 nucleotides) under Bacillus sp. V2-19. RNAcentral describes it as "bacterial SSU rRNA". It matches the Rfam family "Bacterial small subunit ribosomal RNA", at positions 19 to 494 of the family's 1533-position model. Lineage: Bacteria; Bacillati; Bacillota; Bacilli; Caryophanales; Bacillaceae. The record is from RNAcentral.